This 468-nucleotide ribosomal RNA is filed under the name uncultured bacterium. RNAcentral describes it as "partial 16S ribosomal RNA". It matches the Rfam family "Bacterial small subunit ribosomal RNA", at positions 28 to 507 of the family's 1533-position model. The record is from RNAcentral.
GACGAACGCUGGCGGCGUGCUUAACACAUGCAAGUCGAACGGAAAGGCCCUGCUUUUGUGGGGUGCUCGAGUGGCGAACGGGUGAGUAACACGUGAGUAACCUGCCCUUGACUUUGGGAUAACUUCAGGAAACUGGGGCUAAUACCGGAUAGGAGCUCCUGCUGCAUGGUGGGGGUUGGAAAGUUUCGGCGGUUGGGGAUGGACUCGCGGCUUAUCAGCUUGUUGGUGGGGUAGUGGCUUACCAAGGCUUUGCCGGGUAGCCGGCCUGAGAGGGGGACCGGCCACAUUGGGACUGGACUGCGGCACAGACUAGUCCGGGAGGCAGCAGUGGGGAAGAUUGCACAGUGGGCUGAAGCCUGAUCCAGCAACGCCGCGUGCGGGAUGACGGCCUUCGGGUUGUAUUCCGCUUUCGCCUGUGACGAAGCGUGAGUGACGGUAAUGGGUAAAGAAGCACCGGCUAACUACGUG